This 3748-nucleotide long non-coding RNA is filed under the name Zea mays. RNAcentral describes it as "long non-coding RNA (ZMAY_LNC004808)". Lineage: Eukaryota; Viridiplantae; Streptophyta; Magnoliopsida; Poales; Poaceae. The record is from RNAcentral.
UGGUCGAUUCGCCUCGCUUCUCGGUAAAUAAAAGCCGCGCACCAUCGAGAUCAAGCAGAGAGGGAGAAGGGUACUACCGUGGGGGUGCUUCACCUCUACUUCGACCGGACCCUUGGGGAGCUCUGGUGCUUCCCCAGGUUUGUGGGAGGAUUGCCAAAGAUGCGCCGCCCGGGAUCCAUCGCAAGCGCCACCAGAAUUCCUCGUCGUCGUUUGUGGUCCACCGCGUACCGCAUUGCUCCACAUCCAAGGCGCGACUCAGCGCAAACAUAGGUAUAAACGCUUCCCCCAUGCUCGCCCUGUCCUUCUGCUCACGUAGCGCGCCUCGGCGUGGGAGUUGGGGGAUUGUUAUUGGUUGGGGUCGCUUGUUGGCAUGGGCUCCACCAUGAACGGGGGUGGGCGCCGCCGUGCGCAGCGUCGGGGGUUGAGGAUGGGUUCUGGGCCGUCAACUAAGUGAUGGGUGGUCCAGAUUAGGAAUCGAGUCACCAAAUCAAAUGCUUCAUUCGUGCCGUUUGUGUCGACUGGAACGAUUGUGAUCGGAUCUCGGUCAUUUUAACUUGUGGUCUUUGAUAACCGAUCUGAUGGCCAUCAUCGAAUACCGGUUUUAUAAUUGAUCCAUCUAAUCUCGACCGCGGAACUCCGAUCCUACGACUCCAAUUACACAGUACCCCUUCGGCCACGACACUUUGCAUAAGAGUCCCUACACUUUAUUAUAAUCAACCCGUCAUCCCUUCCUUCGCUGAGGGUACAAGAAAUAGGUCCACAAAUUUAUGAAAUGGACCCCCAAAGACUUAAGAAAUAAUACCCACAGUCCAAAGGGUAAUUAAACUAAGUAAAUUGAUAUGGAAAAUGAGUUUUAAUUAUAAAAUUAAUCCUAGACACAUAGAUAAUUCAUAUUUUGAUCGUUUUAACUCCGAUUUGACCAUUCGAAUUAUGUUAGGUUCAUAAUAAUAUUACCUAUACACUAUAACGCUAACUUUUAUCAUGUCACUUACUUUUUAAAUUGGGUACUUAUUUUAUGUAUAGUAGAUUAAUCUAACCAAUCCAAGCAGUAUGUUAAUAAUUAUAAUCAGAGUAAAAGGUAGUCUUUAACUAAGGUAUGGCUUAUAUUAAAGAUAAUAUUUAAUGUAUACCUCUCAUGAUUUAUAAAACCAAUCUAGGACCUAGUACUAAUUGUUUAAUCACAUAAAUCUUCCAAAAAUCAUAACUUUCUAACCAUGACUCCGAUUCUAGCAUGGUUAUUAAAACGUCGCUUAAACGACGUUUAAGCGUCGUUUAAACGACGUUUAAGCGUCGUUUAAACGAUAAAACGUGAUUUGAAACUAAAACGUUAGAACGUUCUGUCAAAUUAGUGUAGAACGUCCGUUUUCGGUGUUUAAACAUCGUUGAAACGUCUGAAACGUCAUUAACGUCGUUCUAGACGUGUAAUCAACGUUACAAGUUACUGGGCCGGCCUUCUUGUUCCUGGGCUUUCGCUUCCAAACUCCAAAGCCGCCCAGGCCCAGCCGUGAGCCAUCGUCCUCCCUAGCCGUCGUCGCCGCGUCGCACUCCUCAGCCGUCAGCCAUCCAGUUGCUCGCCGCUGCAAACCUGGAGAUCUCCCGGCCGGCCGCCCAGUUGCGCCAGCCGUCAGCCAGCUGCUCCAGGUACGCCGCCGGCCCCCUCCUCCCUCUUCCCUCCGCCAGUCUGCCCAGUGCCCACAGGCGAGUGCGCCGCCGACCGCCGUGCCACAGCUCACACACACAGGCGAGUCCGCCGCCGCCGCUGCAUCCAGUCCAUCCACUUGCUGCCCACUUGCUGUCGCUGCUCCAGUGCUCCACUGCUCUCGCCGCCCCUCACAUCUGCUCCACUGCUUGCUGCCGCUGCUCCAGUGCUCUAGCUGCUCCACUGCCAAGAUCCAUCUGCUGCCCUCGCUGCCCCUCACAGUGAAUCACCAGCAGCCAUAUUUGGAUACUUAAUAUUGAUGAUGAAGGCUUGGAUGCUCAUGGUCUUAAUAUUGAUAAGUUUGAUGAUGGUUACUAAUCAUGCAUAAAAGUUGUAACUUGUGUGGUUGAACUUGAGUUGUUUCUUUUUAUGCUAAUGUUAUUUGGUUUGUGAACUCAACUUAUGUAUGAAACUAUGAACUUAUUCUAUAUUUGAAAUUCUAUGUCAAGUUUGAAAAGACGUUUCAACGUUCGUUUAAACGUUUAAACGUUGAAAAGUUGGUUCAUAACGUUUUAACGUUUUACCGCUUUAAUAACCAUGGAUUCUAGUGGUUCUUGAGCCUACACUCUCGUAACGGCGCGUAGAAUAUUAUUACGUAGUCGUUUCCUCCUGUUUGGUGUACUGUUAUGUUUAUGUACUCCUUGCCUAUUUGUAUGUAUUGCUACGAGUAGCAGUGAGGACACGAGAAACCUGAAGACCAAUUUGGAGAAGUACCUAUAAUCUCAAGUCCAAGGCAAGUUGUGCCCUUGAUCACUUUUCUUUACCUAAUAAUGCUUCUGUUAAUCACUGUGACAUGCUCAGUUUAAUUUGAUGGGACCUAAUAGGUUUCCCUAGUAUUGUUUAUCCUACACCUUGCAAACAAAUGAAAUAUUGGGUAGGUUUGCUAUUGCUCUACCUAGUUUUGGGAAAUUAAUGAUAUAUAUGAUCAUGUUCCAUUAAUAUUGUUGGUUUAUUUAUUGUUCAUGAUAAGAUUAUUGUAUUAAUUGGAACAUGGAGAACUACCUGGGAAAACAGUGCUACCACAACGGUGGAAUGGGACGCCCUUGGCCAAGUAAUUAGGAAAGCUAGGGAGAGAUUACCUUACCCGAAAGGGGCAAGCAGGGAGGCGUCGUUGUAGAGUAUAGGGAGGUCCUCAGAUCGAACUACUGUGAUGGCUUUCUGACGAGGGAUUCCUAUGCUUCCUUCUUCCUAAAUCUGUAGUGAGUUUUCUCAAACUAGUGGAACUUUGGAAAGGCCUCGUAGUGCUACCCUGCCUCGUCUCCACGGUAGAGGUGUAUGGGAUUCAUGACCCUGUGGCAAAUGGGUAACCCUACUUGUGGGUAAUGAUGUGCAACCUCUGUAGAGUGUAAAACUGGUAUAUCAGCCGUGCUCACGGUCAUGAGCGUCUUGGAUACUCACAUGAUUAAUUUAUGGAAUUAAACUUAAUCUGUCAUUUGCAUUGCAUUGUGUGUUUUAUUAUUAAUUGUGAUCUCUUAAUAAUUUGGGUUGAUAUCUAUUUAUACUUAGUAACUACUAAUAAAAUUUUGACCAACUUUAAAAGCAAUGCUCAGCUUUAACCAUCUCCUUUGGUAAGCCUUACACUUCACAUGAGCCCCACUAUAAGUGAACUCAUGCACAUUAUUCCCCACAACUUGUUUAGCGAUGAACGUAUGUGAGCUCACCCUUGUUGUACUCACAUCCCCCCAGAUCAAGGACAUGGACCACAAGAUAAGGAGCAUGGUGGAUGCGGCGAUGAGUUCAUGAGAGAUCUAGGUCAUCGUAUCCCAGUCAAAUAUGGUUGCUGGAUCGUUGUCUUCUUAUGGAGUAAUUAUUUAACUAUUUUGUACAGAACUCCAUUAUAUAUGUCAAUGGAGCAUCAGUAAAUGGACUCAACUGAAAUUGAUUGAUUAUGUGAGUUAAAUGUAAGCUACUGAUGUCGCACUGACAUGGGGCAUCGCAGCAAGUAUCAUGUGGAAGAGCAUGGAACUAUAAAACUGGUAUCCAUUAGAUUAUUCCAAAUCAAAAUCAUAAAUAGAGGUAUAUGACAUGCCACUCUUAAGGGCCAUUUUA